Long non-coding RNA from Bombus impatiens (common eastern bumble bee), 1501 nucleotides. RefSeq lists it as uncharacterized. The record is from RefSeq and is a predicted model, not a curated record. NCBI's taxonomy places the organism in Eukaryota, Metazoa, Arthropoda, Insecta, Hymenoptera, Apidae. The transcript has 8 exons.
AUCAAGCAAAGUUUCAUCGACGUACGAGCUCUACGUACUGACCAUCUUUUCCGCUCUGCAAGUAAUACAAAAUUAUUUAUUUCCUUUAUUACCAUUUAACAACGAAAAUUGUACGAUCUAUUCGAUAUAUUUUAUUUCUCUACGAAUGGAACGUUGUAUAAAAAGGAUCUGAUUGAACGAUCACGGAAUCGUAGGAAUUCAACGCUACGUGCUGUUAUUCGCGGAUGUGCCAUAGCCAAGUUUUGCAGCCUGUUGGAACAUAACGACCAAGGAGUCUAAGGUUUCCUUCGCGAGAAUGCCUUGUCACCAGGGUAUAUAUCGCUGCAUGGAUUUCGGCUGGUACCACCUUCUAAAAUAUUGGUAGGAGCAACGUAACAGAAGCGUCGCUUUUCAGCAGUAAGUGCGAGAUACGAAUAACUAUAAUAAAGAGAUCUUUGGUAUUUUUACACCGGGAAUACUUUCUGGACUUGAAAAACGAUCUCCGAAGAACAAUGGGAUAUUAUUUAAAACGAAACUCAAAGGACACGCUGAUUUUUCGUUGAUGUUAGAGAAAUUGAUAAUUCUAUUCGUUUCAAUCGGUCGAUUCUAUUCAUCAAUGAAAAUAUUAAUUGUUAUUGAUUCAUUAACCAGCCACUGAAUCGAUCUUUAGCGUUAAAGGUAUAAGAAUGAAGAAUCUCUUAUUCCUCUGCUAUCUAAUAAUCUAUAGUACAAUAAUAUAGAAGGACAAAUAUUUAUUUCCUUUGUAAAAUAUAGAUAGCUCAAUUCCUAGUGAUUGUCUUUCAGCGAGUGUUUUAUCUCGAUAAAAUAAUCUCGAAUUAAGAAUAUCGUUACCUGCCCAAUGGAAAUUCCAGUUUCUGUUCGGAUCAGCUCCGUAACAACCCCUUCCGGAAGGUCUUCUAGUCUUCCGCCAUAGACGAUUCUAAAUAGCCAGAAAACAAUAUACUUUGCAGGUAUAUUCUUUUAUCGAGCAUAACGGGCCGAUAGCAGAAGAAAAUAUUUCAAAGAAGAUGUUCGACGAUCUUAUCGUAAGAAGUAUCGUUUAAAUAGCGAUUUGCGUCAAGCGUUUGUGAAUACCUACUUUAUCUUCUUCGUCGAUAACAUAAAUAGUUUUCAUUACGAAUGAAAGGAACGUGUAAAUGAAACCUAGAUUUGGUGCAAAAACCAAGGAUGUUCGUGUAUUUAUGGAAGGUUUAUGGAAAAAGAAUUGGAAAAAUGGGCACGAUCUGCGUAACAGAGAAAAGUAUUAUACAAGAUCUUCAAGAUAUACCUGGUGUUCCUUUUGAACGAAAAUAUAGCGAGGCUUCAGAAUUUUCCAACGCGAUCGAUUCGCGGCCAAUGUUCCACCGAGAAAGUUGCGCUUUCUCGUGGCGACUUUGAACCGCAGACUAAUCGAUAUCGCUUUCUUUUCCGCCUGAAAUGAACUUGACGGUUUCGAGAUACAAGACAGGUGUGAGCGUCCCAAGUGAAUCCUCCCGCGACUUUAUAUACAACGGGGAGCAAC